This 807-nucleotide ribosomal RNA is filed under the name Microbacterium resistens. RNAcentral describes it as "bacterial SSU rRNA". It matches the Rfam family "Bacterial small subunit ribosomal RNA", at positions 68 to 882 of the family's 1533-position model. Lineage: Bacteria; Bacillati; Actinomycetota; Actinomycetes; Micrococcales; Microbacteriaceae. The record is from RNAcentral.
GAUGACGCUGGGGCUUGCUCUGGUGGAUUAGUGGCGAACGGGUGAGUAACACGUGAGCAACCUGCCCUGGACUCUGGGAUAAGCGCUGGAAACGGCGUCUAAUACUGGAUACGAGACGUGGCCGCAUGGUCAACGUUUGGAAAAAUUUUUCGGUCUGGGAUGGGCUCGCGGCCUAUCAGCUUGUUGGUGAGGUAAUGGCUCACCAAGGCGUCGACGGGUAGCCGGCCUGAGAGGGUGACCGGCCACACUGGGACUGAGACACGGCCCAGACUCCUACGGGAGGCAGCAGUGGGGAAUAUUGCACAAUGGGCGGAAGCCUGAUGCAACAACGCCGCGUGAGGGAUGACGGCCUUCGGGUUGUAAACCUCUUUUAGCAGGGAAGAAGCGUGAGUGACGGUACCUGCAGAAAAAGCGCCGGCUAACUACGUGCCAGCAGCCGCGGUAAUACGUAGGGCGCAAGCGUUAUCCGGAAUUAUUGGGCGUAAAGAGCUCGUAGGCGGUUUGUCGCGUCUGCUGUGAAAUCCCGAGGCUCAACCUCGGGCCUGCAGUGGGUACGGGCAGACUAGAGUGCGGUAGGGGAGAUUGGAAUUCCUGGUGUAGCGGUGGAAUGCGCAGAUAUCAGGAGGAACACCGAUGGCGAAGGCAGAUCUCUGGGCCGUAACUGACGCUGAGGAGCGAAAGGGUGGGGAGCAAACAGGCUUAGAUACCCUGGUAGUCCACCCCGUAAACGUUGGGAACUAGUUGUGGGGGUCCUUUCCACGGAUUCCGUGACGCAGCUAACGCAUUAAGUUCCCCGCCUGGGGAGUA